This is a long non-coding RNA of Scatophagus argus, 1356 nucleotides long. RefSeq lists it as uncharacterized. The transcript is spliced from 6 exons. The record is from RefSeq and is a predicted model, not a curated record. NCBI's taxonomy places the organism in Eukaryota, Metazoa, Chordata, Actinopteri, Scatophagidae.
AACUGCAGCAGCGAGUCUCGACAGAGUCGUCCCAUCAAAUCAAGGCCUUUGGUGGUGCAAAAGCAGAGCCAGGCUGUCAUGUGAUGUGUUUCUGGUCAUGUGCCUUCAAACCAGGAAGUUGUUUUGUCUGCUUGUGCUCACCUGUUGAAAAUCCACCUGCAAACAUCCUCUGCAUCCAACAAAGCUGGUUGGUGCCUUUUAUACUUUUGGAGAAACUGAUUAUCAAUCCAGCUGAUUUCAGUUUGUUGCAUUUUCGUUUAAGUUGCAGUUUGUUUUUCUGAUGUGCGAAGCUGAUGAUAAAACCCUGCAGGAGUUUGAUCUGGAAGUCGGCUCUUAACAGAAAUAUUAACUCCACUUUUAGAUGCUGUAGAUCAUCUCCAACCUGGAAGCCUCAGAGAGCUCAGAAGAUAAAACCUGAGGAGUCACAAGACGCCUACCAGGCGUCCAGUCCGGCUGUGACUCAGCUGCCCCGACCUUCGCAGGGAGUUCACACAGCCGACCAAAAGUUACGAGGGAGGAAGAGGAGCGUGAGAGUAAACCAACGGACAUCCACACUUAUUCUGAAGGGACUUUUAAAGGAAACUGCUUCGGCAUUGAGAAGAACAAGUUACGCUUUUACGGACUCCAGUGCAGAGCUGAAGUAUCACCUCACCCAGGAGACCCAUCUCAUCCAGAGGGCCCAUGCUGCUCAUCCACAGGGCUCACCUUCACCGUGAGGGCUGAUGUGCUGAUUGGUCCGAUGAUGUGGCGACAGCGUCCCCUGUUCUGUCCCGGUCUCGCCCUCCUCCUCGCCGCGCUGUGGCUCAGAGCGGUUCUCUGUGACAGUCGUUCUGUCUGAAAGUCUCAUCGGACCCCCUCAUGAUGUGAAAGUCCAUCCCUCCAUCCUCCCCGGAGAUGAGCGGAGUGAAAGAGCCGAGUGGGUGGAGGGGACAGUGACAGACAAGAGAUGCUGUGUCAUUCCACCUCAUCAGCCCGUCCAGAUCAACAAUCCCCGGUCCAGACUGCCAGAGAGGCCCACCUCGCUGCCCAGUGUGUCCCAGGAGAGGUGCUCUGACCGGGGCAAGGGGAGAGGGGGACGAGACGGGACGAGACGGGACGGGAUGAGACGGGGGGGGGUUCAGGCUGGAGCUUCCCACUCAGCAGAAAGAAUACUGCAGGAGAGGAAGGUGAGGAGGAGGGCAGGUUGGUGAAGGAGAGCAGAAAGAGAAGGUAGAAGAAAAUGCUGCUUUGUCAUUCAUUCCUGCUUUGCUGUGUCACAAUCUCAAAUGUUCUAAUGUCAGACGGGAAAUGUUGACGCCGAAUCUCUGAAUGUGUGAUUUGAGGUGUACAAUAUAUUCUUCGAUCAAUGUGACCAAA